CGUAAAGCGUGCGUAGGCGGUUCGUUAAGUCAGAUGUGAAAGCCCUGGGCUCAACCUGGGAACUGCAUUUGAAACUGGCGGACUAGAGUUUAGUAGAGGGGAGUGGAAUUUCAGGUGUAGCGGUGAAAUGCGUAGAUAUCUGAAGGAACACCAGUGGCGAAGGCGACUCCCUGGACUAGAACUGACGCUGAGGUACGAAAGCGUGGGUAGCAAACAGGAUUAGAUACCCUGGUAGUCCACGCCGUAAACGAUGUCGACUAGCCGUUGGUCCUAUUUACAGGAUUAGUGGCGCAGCUAACGCAUUAAGUCGACCGCCUGGGGAGUACGGCCGCAAGGUUAAAACUCAAAUGAAUUGACGGGGGCCCGCACAAGCGGUGGAGCAUGUGGUUUAAUUCGAUGCAACGCGAAGAACCUUACCUACCCUUGACAUCCAGAGAAUCUGUUAGAGAUAGUAGAGUGCCUUCGGGAACUCUGAGACAGGUGCUGCAUGGCUGUCGUCAGCUCGUGUCGUGAGAUGUUGGGUUAAGUCCCGUAACGAGCGCAACCCUUAUCCUUAGUUGCCAGCGGGUCAUGCCGGGAACUCUAGGGAGACUGCC
Molecule: ribosomal RNA, 596 nt
Filed under: uncultured Methylobacter sp.
Lineage: Bacteria; Pseudomonadati; Pseudomonadota; Gammaproteobacteria; Methylococcales; Methylococcaceae
Description: bacterial SSU rRNA
Rfam family: Bacterial small subunit ribosomal RNA
Source: RNAcentral